UUUGACAUUGUGGUCCAAGAAAAAGAAUAUGAAAUAGUAUAGAAAAGUAGUGGUCCCCUUGUUUGUCUCGUUGUUUCCCACUAUGUCUGACUGUUUCCCUAGUGGGCAUUUUAGUUUAUUCCACUGUAACUGUUUACUAAUUAGGGAUUGUGAUAAUUUUUUAUUUCCCCCAUUACGUACAGGAGUUUAAUUCUUGUGCUUCUUAGGUAA
RNAcentral lists this long non-coding RNA (210 nucleotides) under Vigna radiata. RNAcentral's name for it is "long non-coding RNA (VRAD_LNC007903)". The record is from RNAcentral. Lineage: Eukaryota; Viridiplantae; Streptophyta; Magnoliopsida; Fabales; Fabaceae.